Molecule: unclassified non-coding RNA, 279 nt
Filed under: plant metagenome
Description: partial contains small subunit ribosomal RNA, internal transcribed spacer 1, and 5.8S ribosomal RNA
Source: RNAcentral
UUUCCGUAGGUGAACCUGCGGAAGGAUCAUUAUAGUACUACAUGAGAGGGGCAUGCGAUGGCUGUCCCUGACCCAAAAGUCGUGCACGCCCUCGUCUUUCCUCUUGUAUAAUCAUCCAUCUCACCCGUUGUGCAUCACCGCGUGGUCAACCUUCGGGGUCAGCCCGGAGGGGGUCACCCGUUUUCACACAAACCCUCCUUUUAAAAGUGUAAAAUUACGACAUUUAUUUAAUCAAUACAACUUUCAACAACGGAACUCUUGAAUCUCGCAGCAAUGAAG